UUUAAUGAGGUCUUUUUCUCUCUUUUGUUGUUUUUUUGCCCUUUUUUUCCAGGGUCCUGCAGGAAGACCUGGACUUCCGGGUCAGCCUGGCACAAGAGGCUUUCCUGGAUUUCCGGUGAGUGGGGAUGGUUUCUGUAAAUGCCCUUGCCCAUCCAUUUCAGCUGGGCCUCAUUGCACUGAGUCGUCCCUUACAUGGGCAUUCCCCUCUGAAGCAACAGUGGCUCUUUCGUGGAGUGCUCUACUCCUCAGCCCUUCCGAAAAUGAAGCCAGACUUGGGAUAGCUCAGAGCUGGGACUGCUUCUAGUUGUUAGAGAGAGAGAGAAAAGGGAAAG
RNAcentral lists this long non-coding RNA (332 nucleotides) under Phascolarctos cinereus (koala). Its description in RNAcentral is "lncRNA (ENSPCIG00000033499.1)". The record is from RNAcentral. Lineage: Eukaryota; Metazoa; Chordata; Mammalia; Diprotodontia; Phascolarctidae.